UUUUCCGAGGAGCGUUGCAGCUCGAUAUCCUGGCCAGAAACCGGCAGGGGACGCGAGUGAGGCUCGGAGCACGCGGCCCUGAUGGGGCUGCGACAGUCAACGGCGCUCACCCACU
Regulatory RNA element from Rhodoferax ferrireducens T118, 115 nucleotides. It matches the Rfam family "SAH (S-adenosyl-L-homocysteine) riboswitch aptamer". The record is from Rfam. Lineage: Bacteria; Pseudomonadati; Pseudomonadota; Betaproteobacteria; Burkholderiales; Comamonadaceae.